Molecule: long non-coding RNA, 2958 nt
Organism: Lineus longissimus
Lineage: Eukaryota; Metazoa; Nemertea; Pilidiophora; Heteronemertea; Lineidae
Exons: 4
Source: RefSeq, a predicted model, not a curated record
UUUUCCGCGAGCUUCUGACCUGUUGGUUUUUUUUGGCCAUCAAUGCAUCAUCAUGACAUCAUCAUGACAUCAUCAUGUACAUCAUCAUGAAGGGCAAAAAUGGCUGUCAUGAAAUGGGCCAUCUCCUAUCCUCCAAGAGUAAACAGUGCCGGAAUUUACAGAACACAAUGGUGCAGCAGAUACAAAGGAGGGGUGCUGGUAAUGAAAACUAUGCCGGUCCUUUCCAGUACCUCCACCUGAUGACCCAGACUGGACAAGAGCAUAGGUGAUCAUGCAAGCAAGGUAUCACACAAUAAUUGUCCUACCGGAAAACCAGCCAAACACCACUGCCAAGAUUGACUGGGAUCGGCUGACCACACCAGUUUGCAGACACAGAUGUCAAUCAGUGGUGUUUUCCAGGGCACCAGAAAGGGAAAACUACUGGUAAUUGAAGCUGGUAGAUCACUGUGACAUCUCUCGUAAACAAGCUGGGUUGUGGACAAGGAUCACAUCAACCAAGUUCAAAUGUCUUGAACGCGAUAGGACCCCUUCCAUACUGACUGGAAAAGACAUCUAUCAUCUUUGUUUGUACAUGAUCAAGGGUAUCUACAGUUUCUUUGCUGGGAAAAAUGGAAAGCAGUGGAGUUCAACAAUGCUUUGGUUCACCAGUUAUACAGAACAUGCAGGACAUUGUGAACGCCGAGAAUAUCACGAAGGACUGAGUGGCGCCGAAAAUACCUGAAGAUUUACUUUUUCAGCUAAGAAUGACUUUGUAGGCCUAAAGGUUUAGAAGUUAUACCUAAAUUCGUCAGGACUAUUGACUUGCUCCUAAGGAAAACAUUUCAUCCUGGAUGCAGAGAAAGACUGUACAGUAGAACCUCUCUAUUAAGGACACCCUCUGGACUGACAAGUGCUGUCCUUAAUAAAGAGAUGUCCUGAUUAGAGAGGUCAAACUAAAUAGAAACAACCAAUUUGGGACCAAAACUAGUGUUGUCCUUCGUAGAGAGGUGUCUGCUAAGGGAGGUUCUACUGUAGUUACAUUACUUAUUAGUUAGUUUUAGUGUUAGUUUUCACUGUUGAAGGAUACAGACACAGAUGUGAAUCGGCAGUGAAGGUGACCUUUUCAAGUGAGGAACCAACGUCUUGGUAUUGCAGCCACUGUAGCUUAGGUAGUGACCUACAUGAAGUUGUUUUCAGUUAUGAAAGUCCAUGGGGUUAGUCGCAUUUAACCUUGACUCUGUAGGACUGGGUCCAUUGAAUGUAACAAAAAUAAUCGAUGCCUAUUUACAAAUGAAAUGAAGAGUCUGCAUUUUGGUGCAACUCCAUAUAACUGUCAGGUGAUUUCACUCUGAACUUGUGACACUCUGAUCGAUCUGAAAUAAUCAUUAUCCCGCCCCUCUGGGAAAAAUUUGCAGCCAGAAUGCACCAUUUCCUGUUACCGUCUGAGAGAUGGCGAUGUCAGGGGUGCAUGACGGUGGUUAAACCUAUUGCGAAUGGGCAGCACAAUUGGGUGUAGGAUAUUCGAAAACCAUUGCACACUCCUGAAUCUGCGGUGGGUUGGUACCCCACGCUACGUAAGGAGUAGGUUGACGGGUAAGACUUGGUCCACGUGAAUGGGUCGUGCCUUAAAAAUGAUGAGAAGUUGCGAAUUGACGCCCUGUGAAGUGUCCUUCGACCAGCUAGUGCUAAUCCGGUCACUGUCUCCAGGUCACCAUGCCUCGGUCAAUGAGCGGGCGAAGCACCCAAUGGCUCCGUCAGGAGUACAUCGUCAACUUCAGCCCGUAGUCAAACCGGUACACGCACAAAUAUCUUAGUUGAGAGUGGGGGACAUCAGUAAAGUGCUUCUCAUCGGGGUAAUACAGUACCACUGUAUACAAUGACCCCAUUUUUUGUUGGAUUCAUUUCCACUGAGGAGUGGUCGAUAAUGAGCACAUCAGGCCAGUCUGAUUGUCACCAGUCCAGAGGGAAAAUACCCGAUAGUUAUGUGGCUUUCCAUUGAACUGUUUAUUCUUUCAUAUCAAUUGUAAAUUAGUGUUGCUUGGUAGUGUUCAGGGUCUUUUUGUCGAACAGACGCAUCUGCAUACCAGUAAUUAUGUGCAAACGUCAUUUUUGCUUUGAAGCAAUAUCGUUACUACACUCCUAAAGCAGUGGCUGUCUUCAGGUCUUUUCUGCCUCUCGGUCAAAUCUGCAUACCAGUAAUUAUAUGCAGACUUAAGUUUUGCUUUGAAGCAAUAUCGCGCUACACUUGUGAAGCAGUGGCAGUGUUCAGGUCUUGUCUGCCUCGCUGACAUAUCUGCAUACCAGUAGUUGUAAGAUAAAUCCUGUUUGUAAUUUUGUAAAUUAGUUGCUCAUUAAGGGCUUACCGAGGUUUUGAUGCCUUAUUGCUGGCAUAUCUGCAUACCAGUAAAUAUGUGCAGAUUCAUUUCUUGCUUUGAAGCAAUAUUGUUGCUACACUCCUAAAGGAGUGGCAAUGUUCAGGUCUUUUCUGCCUCGCCGGCAAAUCUGCAUACCACAGUAAUUAUGUGCUGACUUUGCUCUUCCAGAGAUUGUAGGACUGGGUCCAUUGAAUGUAACAAAAAUAAUCAGUUAGGAGCACAUCGUCAACUUCGUCUGUAGUCAAACCGUUAGGCGCAAAUAUCUUAGUUGAGAGUGGGGGACAUACGCGAAAGUGCUUCUCAUCGGGGUAAUACAGUACCACUGUGUACAAUGACCCCAUUUUAGUUAGAUGGUUUUUCACCGAGGGGUAGUCGGUAAUGAGAAUGUCAGGCCAGUCUGAUUGUCACCAGUCUCGAGGGAAAAUACCUGAUAGUUAUGUGGCAUUUGUUCCUUGUUUACUCUUUCGUGUCAUUUAUAAAUUUGUGUUGCUCGUUUCACCUUGCAUCUCAUGGGCAAAAAGAACGGGUGGAGAAACGAUUCUCCCUGAUGUUGGUCUUUUACUGGAGAUCAUGAUCACUCUUGUCAGUUCCGUGAUUCCUUUUU